CCUACGGGGGGCAGCAGUAGGGAAUCUUCCACAAUGGGCGCAAGCCUGAUGGAGCAACGCCGCGUGUGUGAUGAAGGGUUUCGGCUCGUAAAACACUGUUAUAAGAGAAGAACGGCACUGAGAGUAACUGUUCAGUGUGUGACGGUAUCUUACCAGAAAGGAACGGCUAAAUACGUGCCAGCAGCCGCGGUAAUACGUAUGUUCCAAGCGUUAUCCGGAUUUAUUGGGCGUAAAGCGAGCGCAGACGGUUAUUUAAGUCU
This 260-nucleotide ribosomal RNA is filed under the name uncultured Bacillota bacterium. RNAcentral's name for it is "uncultured Firmicutes bacterium partial 16S ribosomal RNA". It matches the Rfam family "Bacterial small subunit ribosomal RNA", at positions 338 to 590 of the family's 1533-position model. Lineage: Bacteria; Bacillati; Bacillota. The record is from RNAcentral.